RNAcentral lists this ribosomal RNA (253 nucleotides) under uncultured bacterium. RNAcentral describes it as "partial 16S ribosomal RNA". It matches the Rfam family "Bacterial small subunit ribosomal RNA", at positions 524 to 776 of the family's 1533-position model. The record is from RNAcentral.
UACGGAGGGUGCAAGCGUUAUCCGGAUUCACUGGGUUUAAAGGGUGCGUAGGCGGGUUAUUAAGUCAGUGGUGAAAGCCUGCAGCUUAACUGCAGAAUUGCCAUUGAUACUGAUGAUCUUGAGUAUGAUUGAGGUGGGCGGAAUGUGUCAUGUAGCGGUGAAAUGCUUAGAUAUGACACAGAACACCGAUUGCGAAGGCAGCUCACUAAGUCAUAACUGACGCUGAUGCACGAAAGCGUGGGGAGCAAACAGG